AUUUGUGAAAAGGAGAAUUAUAUUCGAAAACCUAUAAAGGGACAAAAGAAGAAUGAUAUGAUUAAAUAUGUAUUGCUUUAAGCGAUAUCACGUGUACACCUAUGUAAUUACGAGAAUAUUUAUUAUAUUAUGUAAAAUUAACUUGCGCUAAUUACUCCGGAGUUAUUUUUUAAGUCGACUUAGAAUAGUAUAAAUAAGGGUUAACUAUGUGGUGUGAAAUUUGAGGUGUAUUAAAGUAAUUAUAAGAUUUAGCUCUAUUGCAUCCACUGAAAUACGGAGCAUUUUGUUCCUGCGAUUCGUUCUAAAUCUACGGAGCAUAUGUAACGCAUCAAUUUGAAUUACUCAAAUUUUGUGUAAGUAAGUAAGUGGGGAGUCGUUCCAUGUACGCGCUCUAUUAUAUAAGCCCCUCUCUAACGCUGCUCGCUCUCCUUUGCUCGGUUGCCACUCAGCGAGAAACACCACAGAAGGCGGGACCUUCUGACUUACAACUAUUUGACGACAUUCCAACGGCUAUCUUCUGCGACAGAAUCCGUUCUGGGAUCAAGAUAAUUUCACUGCUUGUGUUGCAAGAUAUGCUAGUGCAGUUUAGUGAUUACCUCCUAUAUUGGGAAUUGUGACGAGGCAAGCCAAGUUUCGCUUUUCUUCUCAGUUUUGAGAUUACUUGGCAGCUAUAAAUAUUCAAUAUUCAUGUGACGAGAUGUGUGGCAUAGAAGAACCGAGCAUUGCGAGCGAAGAACCAUGAGCAUCUUAGUGUGCGGUGAACGAGAUGAUUGGCGGAGCCAAGAGCGGCCGACGACUGCAGAUGAGGAGAGACGACGAACGCGGAUUCAAAGAGGACAAGGAGAGAAUUGACGUACGAGAGAGUUUUGGGGAAAAUCGGUGCUGAACUAUCGGAUUGGAUGCGUUGCCAGGAUCAAGUUAUUAAGGAUACACGUCCAGUGCAAGGGGCGUGUAGGUCAGAUUUUGUUGUUGUUGGUGGCUGGCUCACGCUUAGCCAAUGUUGAACACGGCACUGGAACGUGUGAGGAUCCCGGCAAGAAUCCACGUCAACGACGCGUGCGACCGCUCAUCCGAGCGGAGAGCAAAAACGACUAGCAACUGGACGCGAACCGUAGCAGCGAUAACAGCAGCGGUAGGAGAACAUCAGGAGGAGCAGCAACCAGAAGGCGGUUGCCGGGUCGCGAAGAGGACCAAGAGGACCAAAGAAAGGCAUAUAGCAUCUGGACACGUCCGACUCACUCGAGCGCGAGACUAUAAAUUUCCGAAUGAUUUUAAGCAUCAGCUCCGUGCCGACCGCAGGAUCAUAAAUCAGAUUUUAGAUUUUCCCCAGAGAAGACAAUUAAGAAAACUGAGCGGUGAAUGAUUAUCGUAAAGCGAGAAUGCUUUGUUUUAUUACUUGUUCACGCUUGAGUUUUAAAAAAAUUUUACGCUGUGCAUUCUUUUUAUAGUAACCAUCCUCAACAGUGGUCUUGCUCUAGCCUUAUUAAUAAUUAAUUUAUUUAGG
Long non-coding RNA from Phymastichus coffea, 1504 nucleotides. RefSeq lists it as uncharacterized. The record is from RefSeq and is a predicted model, not a curated record. The transcript is spliced from 3 exons. Lineage: Eukaryota; Metazoa; Arthropoda; Insecta; Hymenoptera; Eulophidae.